This 540-nucleotide ribosomal RNA is filed under the name uncultured bacterium. RNAcentral describes it as "bacterial SSU rRNA". It matches the Rfam family "Bacterial small subunit ribosomal RNA", at positions 94 to 630 of the family's 1533-position model. The record is from RNAcentral.
AGUGGCGAACGGGUGAGUAAUAUAUCGGAACGUGCCCAAUCGUGGGGGAUAACGUAGAGAAAUUUACGCUAAUACCGCAUACGAUCUAAGGAUGAAAGCGGGGGAUCGCAAGACCUCGCGCGAUUGGAGCGGCUGAUAUCAGAUUAGGUUGUUGGUGAGGUAAAAGCUCACCAAGCCGACGAUCUGUAGCUGGUUUGAGAGAACGACCAGCCACACUGGGACUGAGACACGGCCCAGACUCCUACGGGAGGCAGCAGUGGGGAAUUUUGGACAAUGGGCGAAAGCCUGAUCCAGCAAUGCCGCGUGCAGGAAGAAGGCCUUCGGGUUGUAAACUGCUUUUGUACGGAACGAAACGGUCUGCCCUAAUACGGCGGGCUAAUGACGGUACCGUAAGAAUAAGCACCGGCUAACUACGUGCCAGCAGCCGCGGUAAUACGUAGGGUGCGAGCGUUAAUCGGAAUUACUGGGCGUAAAGCGUGCGCAGGCGGUUAUGUAAGACAGUUGUGAAAUCCCCGGGCUCAACCUGGGAAUUGCAUCUGU